This 501-nucleotide ribosomal RNA is filed under the name uncultured bacterium. RNAcentral's name for it is "bacterial SSU rRNA". It matches the Rfam family "Bacterial small subunit ribosomal RNA", at positions 17 to 518 of the family's 1533-position model. The record is from RNAcentral.
UCCUGGCUCAGGAUGAACGCUGGCGGCGUGCCUAACACAUGCAAGUCGAGCGGAGAUGCAUAGCGGAAGCCUCGGGUGGAAGAUAUGUUAUCUAGCGGCGGACGGGUGAGUAACGCGUGGGUAACCUGGCUCAUACAGGGGGAUAACAGAGAGAAAUUUCUGCUAAUACCGCAUAAGCGCACAGUAUCGCAUGGUACAGUGUGAAAAAACUCCGGUGGUAUGAGAUGGAUCCGCGUCCGAUUAGCCAGUUGGCGGGGUAACGGCCCACCAAAGCGACGAUCGGUAGCCGGCCUGAGAGGGCGGACGGCCACAUUGGGACUGAGACACGGCCCAGACUCCUACGGGAGGCAGCAGUGGGGGAUAUUGCACAAUGGAGGAAACUCUGAUUGCAGCGACGCCGCGUGGGUGAAGAAGUAUUUCGGUAUGUAAAGCCCUAUCAGCAGGGACGAUAAUGACGGUACCUGAGUAAGAAGCCCCGGCUAACUACGUGCCAGCCGCGGC